RNAcentral lists this ribosomal RNA (423 nucleotides) under uncultured bacterium. RNAcentral's name for it is "bacterial SSU rRNA". It matches the Rfam family "Bacterial small subunit ribosomal RNA", at positions 358 to 773 of the family's 1533-position model. The record is from RNAcentral.
GGAAUCUUGGACAAUGGGGGCAACCCUGAUCCAGCCAUGCCGCGUGGGUGAAGAAGGCCUUCGGGUUGUAAAGCCCUUUUGUUCGGAAAGAAAUCUCUUCGGCUAAUACUCGGAGAGGCUGACGGUACCGAAAGAAUAAGCACCGGCUAACUUCGUGCCAGCAGCCGCGGUAAUACGAAGGGUGCAAGCGUUACCCGGAAUUACUGGGCGUAAAGCGUGCGCAGGCGGUUUGUUAAGUCUGAUGUGAAAGCCCCGGGCUCAACCUGGGAAUUGCAUUGGAAACUGGCAGGCUAGAGUGCGGUAGAGGAUGGUGGAAUUCCCGGUGUAGCGGUGAAAUGCGUAGAGAUCGGGAGGAACAUCUGUGGCGAAGGCGGCCAUCUGGACCAGCACUGACGCUCAUGCACGAAAGCGUGGGGAGCAAAC